UGUGUGUUAGUGGAAGCGUCUGGAAAGGCGCGCGAUACAGGGUGACAGCCCCGUACACAAAAAUGCACAUGCUGUGAGCUCGAUGAGUAGGGCGGGACACGUGGUAUCCUGUCUGAAUAUGGGGGGACCAUCCUCCAAGGCUAAAUACUCCUGACUGACCGAUAGUGAACCAGUACCGUGAGGGAAAGGCGAAAAGAACCCCGGCGAGGGGAGUGAAAAAGAACCUGAAACCGUG
RNAcentral lists this ribosomal RNA (235 nucleotides) under Escherichia coli. RNAcentral describes it as "partial 23S ribosomal RNA". It matches the Rfam family "Bacterial large subunit ribosomal RNA", at positions 323 to 560 of the family's 2925-position model. Lineage: Bacteria; Pseudomonadati; Pseudomonadota; Gammaproteobacteria; Enterobacterales; Enterobacteriaceae. The record is from RNAcentral.